CAACCCUCAAGCUCUGCUUGGUGUUGGGCCCUGCCCGCUCGCGGGCCGGCCCUAAAGACAGUGGCGGUAGCGUCUAGCUCCAAGCGUAGUACAACUCUCGCUCUGGGCCUAGGCGGUAGCCUGCCAGAACCCCCCAUUUCUGU
Molecule: unclassified non-coding RNA, 143 nt
Filed under: uncultured Oidiodendron
Lineage: Eukaryota; Fungi; Ascomycota; Leotiomycetes; Myxotrichaceae
Description: sequence contains ITS2
Source: RNAcentral